RNAcentral lists this microRNA (21 nucleotides) under Glycine max (soybean). RNAcentral's name for it is "gma-miR1516a-3p". The record is from miRBase by way of RNAcentral. Lineage: Eukaryota; Viridiplantae; Streptophyta; Magnoliopsida; Fabales; Fabaceae.
CAAAAGAGCUUAUGGCUUGUA